AGAAAAUGUGGGUAAAAGAAGCGGGACACCAAAGGGAAGCCAAAAGUGGAGAAAAUGUGGGUAAGAGAAUCGGGACACGGAAGUGAAGUUGAAAUGUGGAGUUUGCAAAAAAAAAAAAAAAAGUAUUGGGACGCCUAUAAAUGGGAAAAA
This is a long non-coding RNA of Hippocampus zosterae (dwarf seahorse), 150 nucleotides long. RefSeq lists it as uncharacterized. The transcript is spliced from 2 exons. The record is from RefSeq and is a predicted model, not a curated record. NCBI's taxonomy places the organism in Eukaryota, Metazoa, Chordata, Actinopteri, Syngnathiformes, Syngnathidae.